RNAcentral lists this ribosomal RNA (101 nucleotides) under uncultured eukaryote. Its description in RNAcentral is "partial small subunit ribosomal RNA". The record is from RNAcentral.
UCGCUCCUACCGAUUUCGAGUGGUCCGGUGAACCCUUUGGACUGGAAGCGUCUUGAACGCUGCUAGAAAGUCGAGUAAACCACAUCAUUUAGAGGAAGGUG